Molecule: long non-coding RNA, 357 nt
Filed under: Citrus maxima (pomelo)
Lineage: Eukaryota; Viridiplantae; Streptophyta; Magnoliopsida; Sapindales; Rutaceae
Description: long non-coding RNA (CMAX_LNC003086)
Source: RNAcentral
CCGAACGGGCUGUACGUGGUUUAUGCGAACCACUGGUUGGGUCUUCAAUCCUGCAAGCGAAGCUUGAAGCUCGUCAGUUUGCCCGUUCUGAAAGCGUAUUCCGACGUGCCCCAAAAGAGUUUCGAGUUGACCCAAAGAAACUGAGGGAUAAGGCACAGAGAAAUGAGGUACUUAUAAGAAAAGCAAAAGAACUUCAUUUAUCAUCUUAUGUGCUUACAUGUGCCUAUGUCUACGUUUUCCUGGUGAAAGCAACGGGAGAGGAAGGUGAUGCAACUGUUAUGUUGUAUGUUGAAGCAGAUUGUAGAAGCUAGUUGGAUCCUCCUAUUCCGACUAAUUAUUUUGGUAACUGUGUUAGUG